RNAcentral lists this ribosomal RNA (319 nucleotides) under uncultured Pseudomonadota bacterium. RNAcentral's name for it is "bacterial SSU rRNA". It matches the Rfam family "Bacterial small subunit ribosomal RNA", at positions 30 to 351 of the family's 1533-position model. Lineage: Bacteria; Pseudomonadati; Pseudomonadota. The record is from RNAcentral.
AUUGAACGCUGGCGGUAUGCUUAACACAUGCAAGUCGAACGGUAGCAGGCCUUCGGGCGCUGACGAGUGGCGGACGGGUGAGUAAUGUAUCGGAACGUACCUUUCAGUGGGGGAUAACGCAGCGAAAGUUGCGCUAAUACCGCAUAUUCUGUGAGCAGGAAAGCAGGGGAUCGCAAGACCUUGCGCUGAUUGAGCGGCCGAUAUCAGAUUAGCUAGUUGGUGAGGUAAAAGCUCACCAAGGCGACGAUCUGUAGCGGGUCUGAGAGGAUGAUCCGCCACACUGGAACUGAGACACGGUCCAGACUCCUACGGGAGGCAG